UCAGGCCUGCCAUGUGUUCAGACCUA
Molecule: non-coding RNA, 26 nt
Filed under: Rattus norvegicus (Norway rat)
Lineage: Eukaryota; Metazoa; Chordata; Mammalia; Rodentia; Muridae
Source: RNAcentral